This 376-nucleotide long non-coding RNA is filed under the name Ananas comosus (pineapple). Its description in RNAcentral is "long non-coding RNA (ACOM_LNC011908)". Lineage: Eukaryota; Viridiplantae; Streptophyta; Magnoliopsida; Poales; Bromeliaceae. The record is from RNAcentral.
CCAACUAAACUAUUUUCUAUUAUUCUUUUUAUAUUCUUUUUAUGCUCUGAUACCAUCUUAUCUGUCACGCCCCGAGCCCGCCUAUUUGUUCGGUUCGGGCACACCGACAGACCGCCGGACGGACAGAAUUUCUCCUGUACGUCCAAGGCGUCACAAUCAAUACAAUUACAAGACGUUCCAAACAGGAACAAUAUUCAACAACGAUUGCAUAAGGAAGGCAUCAAACAACAUAAACAACUAGACUAUUACAACCAUUCACAUUUAUAUACUUAUUACAUACAUUUUCAUUUUUCUUUUCUUCCAAAUACAAUCAAGAUUGUUACAACAUUAUUUUACGACAAGUUUAUUCUUUUCUUUUCUUCUACACCCCUAGUUA